AUUGAACGCUGGCGGCAGGCCUAACACCUGCAAGUCGAACGAGUGGCGGACGGGUUAGUAAUGUCUGGGAAAAUGCCUGAUGGAGGGGGAUAACUACUGGAAACGGUAGCUAAUCCCGCAUAAAAUCAGCUGUGCCCAGAUGGGAUUAGCUUGGUGGUGGGGUAACGCCUCACCUAGGCGACGAUCCCUAGCUGGUCUGAGAGGAAGACCAGCCACACUGGAACGGAGACACGGUCCAGACUCCUACGGGAGGCAGCAGUGGGGAAUAUUGCACAAUGGGCGCAAGCCUGAUGCAGCCAUUCCGCGUGUAUGAAGAAGGCCUUCGGGUUGUAAAGUACUUUCAGCGGGGAGGCGUUACCCGCAGAAGAAGCACCGGCUAACUCCGUGCCAGCAGCCGCGGUAAUAC
Molecule: ribosomal RNA, 406 nt
Filed under: uncultured bacterium
Lineage: Bacteria
Description: partial 16S ribosomal RNA
Rfam family: Bacterial small subunit ribosomal RNA
Source: RNAcentral